AUGGAAUGUCCUUGCUUUUCCCCGUGCCGAGAGGUGGUUAAAUGCCCAAAAGCCCAUCGACGAGGUUGCAAGACCGCCUUUCUACCUUCGCUACGUCAUCUUUCAUUUGUAUUUAUACUUGGUCGGAAACGGGCGUAUAAAUGGACGUUGAAAGGGGAAAAAAACACCAGAGGCUAUCUUUAAACAUUUUCAUACGUCAGGCAAAGGGGAACCAACACAGAUAAACCAUCCAGAUAAAGAAGUUUACAAAAUCUUCGGAAAAAACUGUUUCCAUUAACCCUGCAACGGGACUCAUGGGUCAUUCGUGCCCUCGAUGUUUUGAAAAUGUGAAUCCCUAGGAAAACCCAGUUAGUAUGUAAAAAAUGUUUGGGGUGGGGAUAGAAUGUGGCCGCCAGCGCGCCGGAAUCCACCAUGUACCUGCGACUGGCAGCGAGAACGGAUCUCCGAAAGGCACGAGUGACCCAUGAGUCCUACUAACGUUUGAAGUCGAUAAGUGCGAAAAUGAGUCUAAAAUAUGAAAAAAAUAUGAAAAUAUGAGUAAAAUAUGAGUCUAAAAUAGCGACAGAAUGCCAAAAAGAAAAAGGUGUCACUUCUGCCCAACCAAAACAGACAGGAAAACGUUCUUCUGCUGUUAUAAAUGCAAACAAUCGGUUUGUGACGAUCAUCGACUUGCGUGCUGUCCAGAAUGCUCGUAAAAUUUCAAAUGAUGUAACAUUAUGUUAUUAAUUAUGUAAUUUUAUGUUAAUUUCAUAUAAAUGCCAAUACUUGACAACUUA
Molecule: long non-coding RNA, 776 nt
Organism: Vollenhovia emeryi
Lineage: Eukaryota; Metazoa; Arthropoda; Insecta; Hymenoptera; Formicidae
Exons: 2
Source: RefSeq, a predicted model, not a curated record